RNAcentral lists this ribosomal RNA (253 nucleotides) under uncultured bacterium. RNAcentral's name for it is "partial 16S ribosomal RNA". It matches the Rfam family "Bacterial small subunit ribosomal RNA", at positions 524 to 776 of the family's 1533-position model. The record is from RNAcentral.
UACGUAGGGUGCAAGCGUUGUCCGGAAUUAUUGGGCGUAAAGAGCUCGGUAGGCGGCUUGUCGCGUCGGCUGUGAAAACCUGGGGCUCAACCCCGGGCCUGCAGCCGAUACGGGCAGCUAGAAUUCGGUAGGGGAGACUGGAAUUCCUGGUGUAGCGGUGAAAUGCGCAGAUAUCAGGAGGAACACCGGUGGCGAAGGCGGGUCUCUGGGCCGAAAUUGACGCUGAGGAGCGAAAGCGUGGGGAGCAAACAGG